This 205-nucleotide unclassified non-coding RNA is filed under the name Hevea brasiliensis (rubber tree). Lineage: Eukaryota; Viridiplantae; Streptophyta; Magnoliopsida; Malpighiales; Euphorbiaceae. The record is from RNAcentral.
GCGUGUUGGAGAGGUUAAUGUGGUUCAAGUUGAGACAGAUAUUGCUAGCAAUUGUGCACUUGCAGGUAAUUUUAAAUAGCCAUUUUUAUUAGAUAAAUUUCUAUUUUUAAGUGAAGAAUAUAUUAAAAUUUACAUGGCAGCAUUUUGUAUUGUUUUUUAGGAAAGUUAUUAGAAACUAAGUGCCUUCAUUUAUACUGAACUCUUU